This 3013-nucleotide ribosomal RNA is filed under the name Salmonella enterica subsp. enterica serovar Typhimurium. RNAcentral describes it as "23S ribosomal RNA". It matches the Rfam family "Bacterial large subunit ribosomal RNA". Lineage: Bacteria; Pseudomonadati; Pseudomonadota; Gammaproteobacteria; Enterobacterales; Enterobacteriaceae. The record is from RNAcentral.
GGGUUGUGAGGUUAAGCGACUAAGCGUACACGGUGGAUGCCCUGGCAGUCAGAGGCGAUGAAGGACGUGCUAAUCUGCGAUAAGCGCCGGUAAGGUGAUAUGAACCGUUAUAACCGGCGAUUUCCGAAUGGGGAAACCCAGUGUGAUUCGUCACACUAUCAUUAACUGAAUCCAUAGGUUAAUGAGGCGAACCGGGGGAACUGAAACAUCUAAGUACCCCGAGGAAAAGAAAUCAACCGAGAUUCCCCCAGUAGCGGCGAGCGAACGGGGAGGAGCCCAGAGCCUGAAUCAGCAUGUGUGUUAGUGGAAGCGUCUGGAAAGGCGCGCGAUACAGGGUGACAGCCCCGUACACAAAAGCGCAUGUGCUGUGAGCUCGAUGAGUAGGGCGGGACACGUGGUAUCCUGUCUGAAUAUGGGGGGACCAUCCUCCAAGGCUAAAUACUCCUGACUGACCGAUAGUGAACCAGUACCGUGAGGGAAAGGCGAAAAGAACCCCGGCGAGGGGAGUGAAAAAGAACCUGAAACCGUGUACGUACAAGCAGUGGGAGCACAGGUUUACCUGUGUGACUGCGUACCUUUUGUAUAAUGGGUCAGCGACUUAUAUUCUGUAGCAAGGUUAACCGUAUAGGGGAGCCGGAGGGAAACCGAGUCUUAACCGGGCGUUAAGUUGCAGGGUAUAGACCCGAAACCCGGUGAUCUAGCCAUGGGCAGGUUGAAGGUUGGGUAACACUAACUGGAGGACCGAACCGACUAAUGUUGAAAAAUUAGCGGAUGACCUGUGGCUGGGGGUGAAAGGCCAAUCAAACCGGGAGAUAGCUGGUUCUCCCCGAAAGCUAUUUAGGUAGCGCCUCGUGAAUUCAUCUCCGGGGGUAGAGCACUGUUUCGGCUAGGGGGCCAUCCCGGCUUACCAACCCGAUGCAAACUGCGAAUACCGGAGAAUGUUAUCACGGGAGACACACGGCGGGUGCUAACGUCCGUCGUGAAGAGGGAAACAACCCAGACCGCCAGCUAAGGUCCCAAAGUCAUGGUUAAGUGGGAAACGAUGUGGGAAGGCCCAGACAGCCAGGAUGUUGGCUUAGAAGCAGCCAUCAUUUAAAGAAAGCGUAAUAGCUCACUGGUCGAGUCGGCCUGCGCGGAAGAUGUAACGGGGCUAAACCAUGCACCGAAGCUGCGGCAGCGAACGUAUCACCCAAGACAACUUUACGGAGUUGACGAUUGACGGAGCGAAGCGACGUCAAAGCGUUCAUUAAAGUCGAGUUGGCUUAGGGAUACGUUCGUUGGGUAGGGGAGCGUUCUGUAAGCCUGUGAAGGUGUGUCGUGAGGCAUGCUGGAGGUAUCAGAAGUGCGAAUGCUGACAUAAGUAACGAUAAAGCGGGUGAAAAGCCCGCUCGCCGGAAGACCAAGGGUUCCUGUCCAACGUUAAUCGGGGCAGGGUGAGUCGACCCCUAAGGCGAGGCCGAAAGGCGUAGUCGAUGGGAAACGGGUUAAUAUUCCCGUACUUGGUGUUACUGCGAAGGGGGGACGGAGAAGGCUAUGUUGGCCGGGCGACGGUUGUCCCGGUUUAAGCGUGUAGGUGUGUGUUCCAGGUAAAUCCGGUUCACUUUAACACUGAGGCGUGACGACGAGGCACUACGGUGCUGAAGCAACAAAUGCCCUGCUUCCAGGAAAAGCCUCUAAGCAUCAGGUAACAUCAAAUCGUACCCCAAACCGACACAGGUGGUCAGGUAGAGAAUACCAAGGCGCUUGAGAGAACUCGGGUGAAGGAACUAGGCAAAAUGGUGCCGUAACUUCGGGAGAAGGCACGCUGACACGUAGGUGAAGUGAUUUACUCACGGAGCUGAAGUCAGUCGAAGAUACCAGCUGGCUGCAACUGUUUAUUAAAAACACAGCACUGUGCAAACACGAAAGUGGACGUAUACGGUGUGACGCCUGCCCGGUGCCGGAAGGUUAAUUGAUGGGGUCAGCGCAAGCGAAGCUCCUGAUCGAAGCCCCGGUAAACGGCGGCCGUAACUAUAACGGUCCUAAGGUAGCGAAAUUCCUUGUCGGGUAAGUUCCGACCUGCACGAAUGGCGUAAUGAUGGCCAGGCUGUCUCCACCCGAGACUCAGUGAAAUUGAACUCGCUGUGAAGAUGCAGUGUACCCGCGGCAAGACGGAAAGACCCCGUGAACCUUUACUAUAGCUUGACACUGAACAUUGAGCCUUGAUGUGUAGGAUAGGUGGGAGGCUUUGAAGUGUGGACGCCAGUCUGCAUGGAGCCGACCUUGAAAUACCACCCUUUAAUGUUUGAUGUUCUAACGUGGACCCGUAAUCCGGGUUGCGGACAGUGUCUGGUGGGUAGUUUGACUGGGGCGGUCUCCUCCUAAAGAGUAACGGAGGAGCACGAAGGUUGGCUAAUCCUGGUCGGACAUCAGGAGGUUAGUGCAAUGGCAUAAGCCAGCUUGACUGCGAGCGUGACGGCGCGAGCAGGUGCGAAAGCAGGUCAUAGUGAUCCGGUGGUUCUGAAUGGAAGGGCCAUCGCUCAACGGAUAAAAGGUACUCCGGGGAUAACAGGCUGAUACCGCCCAAGAGUUCAUAUCGACGGCGGUGUUUGGCACCUCGAUGUCGGCUCAUCACAUCCUGGGGCUGAAGUAGGUCCCAAGGGUAUGGCUGUUCGCCAUUUAAAGUGGUACGCGAGCUGGGUUUAGAACGUCGUGAGACAGUUCGGUCCCUAUCUGCCGUGGGCGCUGGAGAACUGAGGGGGGCUGCUCCUAGUACGAGAGGACCGGAGUGGACGCAUCACUGGUGUUCGGGUUGUCAUGCCAAUGGCACUGCCCGGUAGCUAAAUGCGGAAGAGAUAAGUGCUGAAAGCAUCUAAGCACGAAACUUGCCCCGAGAUGAGUUCUCCCUGAGACUUAGAGUCUCCUGAAGGAACGUUGAAGACGACGACGUUGAUAGGCCGGGUGUGUAAGCGCAGCGAUGCGUUGAGCUAACCGGUACUAAUGAACCGUGAGGCUUAACCUUACAACGCCGAAG